Molecule: ribosomal RNA, 372 nt
Filed under: uncultured Glomus
Lineage: Eukaryota; Fungi; Glomeromycota; Glomeromycetes; Glomerales; Glomeraceae
Description: SSU rRNA
Rfam family: Eukaryotic small subunit ribosomal RNA
Source: RNAcentral
CUUGGGCUAUCGGUGUUUACCGAUGGAAGUUUGAGGCAUAACAGGUCUGUGAUGCCCUUAGAUUCUGGGCCGCACGCGCGCUACACUGAUGAAGUCAACGAGUUCAUUUCCUUUAUCGGAAGAUAUGGGUAAUCUUUUGAAACUUCAUCGUGAUGGGGAUAGAGCAUUGCAAUUAUUGCUCUUGAACGAGGAAUCCCUAGUAAGCACAAGUCACUAGCUUGUGCUGAUUACGUCCCUGCCCUUUGUACACACCGCCCGUCGCUACUACCGAUUGAAUGGCUUAGUGAGGCCUUCGGAUUGAGUUUUAGGAACUGGCAACAGAUCCUGAUUUUAAGAAGUUGGUCAAACUUGGUCAUUUAGAGGAAGUAAAAG